CAGCUGCUUGAUACCAAAGAUCAGAGCCACGAUCUAGACCCCAAGAAGGAGAGAGACUGAGUAAGAGCCAUUUCCCCGUUGUACAUUCACCAUCUGAGACCCAAAGAGAGGCACUGAGAGACCUCAAGUCACAUGGCGGGCCUCCAUGUCCUGAGCUGCAGGAACAAUCCCCUGAUUAUCCCUGUGGUCCAUGACCUCAGCCAGCCCUUCUACCACAGCCAGGCGGUACGUGUGAGCUUCAGUUCGCCCCUGGUCGCCAUCUCGGGGGUGGCCCUCCGCUCCUUCGACAACUUUGACCCCGUCACCCUGAGCAGCUGCCAGAGAGGGGAGACCUACAGCCCUGCCGAGCAGAG
This 353-nucleotide small RNA is filed under the name Pan troglodytes (chimpanzee). Its description in RNAcentral is "processed transcript". Lineage: Eukaryota; Metazoa; Chordata; Mammalia; Primates; Hominidae. The record is from RNAcentral.